Molecule: RNA transcript, 1367 nt
Organism: Nycticebus coucang (slow loris)
Lineage: Eukaryota; Metazoa; Chordata; Mammalia; Primates; Lorisidae
Gene name: actin-related protein 2/3 complex subunit 1A-like
Exons: 1
Source: RefSeq, a predicted model, not a curated record
UGAUCCAGGCGCCUGUGGAGCCUGUUCGCAUCGACUGACCAGAGUCCGCGAAUUCUCCGCUCCGAUCCCAUCCGACCUUCCCCCAUCCCAGCUUUCUAUUGUUUGAAAACUCUAAGAAUAAUGUCCCUGCAUCAGUUUUUACUAGAGCCAAUCACCUGUCAUGCCUGGAACAGGGAUCAUACCCAAAUUGCCCUUAGCCCCAAUAAUCACGAAGUGCACAUCUAUAAGAAAAACGGGAGCCAGUGGAUAAAAGCUCAUGAACUCAAGGAGCACAACGGACACAUCACAGGUAUUGACUGGGCUCCCAAAAGCGACCGCAUCGUCACUUGUGGGGCAGACCGCAAUGCCUAUGUCUGGAGUCAGAAAGAUGGUGUCUGGAAGCCAACCCUGGUGAUCCUGAGAAUUAAUCGCACAGCCACUUUUGUGAAGUGGUCCCCCUUAGAGAACAAAUUUGCUGUGGGAAGUGGAGCACGACUCAUUUCUGUUUGUUACCGAGUCUGAAAAUGACUGGUGGGUAAGCAAACACAUUAAAAAGCCGAUUCGCUCUACAGUCCUCAGCUUGGAUUGGCAUCUCAACAAUGUUUUGCUGGCAGCAGGAUCAUGUGACUUCAAAUGCAGAGUGUUUUCUGCCUAUAUUAAAGAAGUGGAUGAAAAGCCAGCCAGUACACCCUGGGGCAGCAAGAUGCCUUUUGGUCAGCUGAUGUCAGAGUUUGGGGGCAGUGGCACAGGUGGCUGGGUCCAUGGGGUCAGCUUCUCCGCCAGUGGGAGCUGCCUGGCCUGGGUCAGUCAUGACAGCACCGUGUCUGUUGCUGAUGCUUCAAAAAGUGUACAGGUCUCAACUCUGAAAACAGAGUUCCUACCACUCCUGAGUGUGUCAUUUGUCUCGGAGAAUAGCGUUGUGGCUAUUGGUCAUGACUGCUGCCCAAUGCUCUUUAACUACGAUGACCGUGGCUGCUUGACCUUUGUGUCCAAGUUAGACAUUCCAAAACAGAGCAUCCAGCGCAACAUGUCUGCUAUGGAACGUUUCCGCAACAUGGACAAGAGGGCCACGACCGAGGACCACAAUACAGCCCUGGAGACACUGCACCAGAAUAGCAUCACUCAAGUAUCUAUUUAUGAGGUGGACAAGCAAGAUUGUCGCAAAUUUUGCACUACUAGCAUUGAUGGAGCCAUGACAAUUUGGGAUUUCAAGACCUUAGAAUCUUCUAUCCAGGGCCUCCAGAUAAUGUGAAGCUGAGUGAGCCUCUGCCAUCCAGCACGACAAACAGUCGCUGACCGCAGCUUUGCCAUUGGAUGGAGAGGAAAGCUAGCCCCAAGGAAACAUAUCGUGCAAAUAUUGUGUGGUUUUGUUUGAGUAUAAAAUUGGU